Molecule: ribosomal RNA, 461 nt
Filed under: uncultured bacterium
Lineage: Bacteria
Description: partial 16S ribosomal RNA
Rfam family: Bacterial small subunit ribosomal RNA
Source: RNAcentral
CCUACGGGUGUCAGCAGUGAGGAAUAUUGGUCAAUGGGCGGGAGCCUGAACCAGCCAAGUCGCGUGAGGGAAGACGGUCCUACGGAUUGUAAACCUCUUUUGCCGGGGAGCAACGGGGUCCUUGCGAGGGCCCAAUGAGAGUACCCGGCGAAAAAGCAUCGGCUAACUCCGUUCCAGCAGCCGCGGUAAUACGGUGGAUGCGAGCGUUAUCCGGAUUUACUGGGUGUAAAGGGCGUGUAGGCGGGACUGCAAGUCAGAUGUGAAAACCACGGGCUCAACCUGUGGCCUGCAUUUGAAACUGUAGUUCUUGAGUACUGGAGAGGCAGACGGAAUUCCUAGUGUAGCGGUGAAAUGCGUAGAUAGUAGGAGGAACACCAGUGGCGAAGGCGGUCUGCUGGACAGCAACUGACGCUGAGGCGCGAAAGCGUGGGGAGCAAACAGGAUUAGAUACCCCAGUAGUC